Molecule: transfer RNA, 46 nt
Filed under: Atelopus sp. 'chimborazo'
Lineage: Eukaryota; Metazoa; Chordata; Amphibia; Anura; Bufonidae
Description: partial tRNA-Ile
Source: RNAcentral
GGAAGUGUGCCUGAAAGUUAAGGAUCUCCUUGAUAGGGAGAACAAU